UGGUGGAGCGAUUUAUCUGGUUAAUUCCGAUAACGAACGAGACUCUAGCCUGCUAAAUAGACGGGCGAUCCCUUGUGGGUCGAUCCGAUUUGCUUCUUAGAGGGACAAGUGGCGUUCCUAGCCACGCGAAAUUGAGCAAUAACA
Molecule: ribosomal RNA, 144 nt
Filed under: uncultured eukaryote
Lineage: Eukaryota
Description: partial 18S ribosomal RNA
Rfam family: Eukaryotic small subunit ribosomal RNA
Source: RNAcentral